RNAcentral lists this long non-coding RNA (210 nucleotides) under Nicotiana benthamiana. Its description in RNAcentral is "long non-coding RNA (NBEN_LNC000875)". The record is from RNAcentral. Lineage: Eukaryota; Viridiplantae; Streptophyta; Magnoliopsida; Solanales; Solanaceae.
CAGGAAGAGAUAUCAAAACAAAGUACACAAGUAGUUCCUCAGUUAAAUCCAGCUUGAGUGACUUAAGUUUCAGAGCAAGAUGAGACAUUUCCAUUAUGUACUCCCUAAUGUUUCCCUUGCCCUUAUACCUCAUGGAACCAAGUUUAUCGCCUUUUCGUUUUGAAUAAAACGCUGUUCGAGGUUUCCAAGGAAAACUUUGGCAUUGGGUUC